AACGAACGCUGGCGGCAUGCCUAACACAUGCAAGUCGAACGAGACCUUCGGGUCUAGUGGCGCACGGGUGCGUAACGCGUGGGAAUCUGCCCUUGGGUUCGGAAUAACAGUUGGAAACGACUGCUAAUACCGGAUGAUGACGUAAGUCCAAAGAUUUAUCGCCCAAGGAUGAGCCCGCGUAGGAUUAGCUAGUUGGUGAGGUAAAGGCUCACCAAGGCGACGAUCCUUAGCUGGUCUGAGAGGAUGAUCAGCCACACUGGGACUGAGACACGGCCCAGACUCCUACGGGAGGCAGCAGUGGGGAAUAUUGGACAAUGGGCGAAAGCCUGAUCCAGCAAUGCCGCGUGAGUGAUGAAGGCCUUAGGGUCGUAAAGCUCUUUUACCCGGGAUGAUAAUGACAGUACCGGGAGAAUAAGCUCCGGCUAACUCCGUG
Molecule: ribosomal RNA, 433 nt
Filed under: uncultured bacterium
Lineage: Bacteria
Description: partial 16S ribosomal RNA
Rfam family: Bacterial small subunit ribosomal RNA
Source: RNAcentral